UCCUACGGGGCGCAGCAGUAGGGAAUUUUCGUCAAUGGGCGCAAGCCUGAACGAGCAAUGCCGCGUGAACGAGGAAGGUCUUCGGAUCGUAAAGUUAUGUUGAAGGGGAAAAAGAGCGGAGAGAGGAAAUGGUCUCCGAUUGAUAUUACCCUUCGAGGAAGUCACGGCUAACUACGUGCCAGCAGCCGCGGUAAUACGUAGGUGGCGAGCGUUAUCCGGAAUGAUUGGGCGUAAAGGGUGCGUAGGCGGCCUGCUAAGUCUGGGGUGAACGGUACCGGCUCAACCGGUACAGGCUCUGGAAACUG
RNAcentral lists this ribosomal RNA (305 nucleotides) under uncultured bacterium. RNAcentral's name for it is "bacterial SSU rRNA". It matches the Rfam family "Bacterial small subunit ribosomal RNA", at positions 337 to 635 of the family's 1533-position model. The record is from RNAcentral.